CCUGUGGGUACAGCACAGACCAGAGAGGAUCCUUGGGUUUGAAACAGGCUCUUUUAUGCUCAAGGUCUCAGAGAGCCUUUCUGGGAAAUGAUGAUUAGCUGUCCAGCUGGCAGCAACCAGUUUCGGCGUUACAGGCCCUUGGCACUCUGUCAGAAUCGGCUUGGACCUCUGCAUCGGAGAGGGGACCAGCCCACUCGCCCUCCUUUCCACGGUCUUUCCCAAGAGGUGACAGGAGGGGAAUUAAUGAGGAACAGGGUGAACUUUAUUGAAGGAGUUUAUUCUGUGUCUUGUGGAUCUAGCCAUUUAGGGACAAAGCACAACUUUUCUGGACUUCCAAAGAAAUCCGGGGUGAAUUUAGCGCUUCUGUUUGGUGAAAAACAAAACCUGAAAUGAAUGCUGUUAGACACAUUUGUUCAUAGUUUGCCAGUGGGCACAGUCCAUUUUGUAUACUAUUGUCAUUGUUUGCAGUUUCACCAUCAGUUGUAGUCAGUGAUAGGGAGGAUUAGUUUUGCCAUCAGCAAGCCUGGAUUCAAAACUUGGUUCUGUUUCAUAAGCUGGAUGCCCUUGGGACCUCCUGGGGAUUCUGGCCUCUUCUUUGCUGAACUCCAAAGACUUCACUUCAACGUUUCAGCUCAAUUGGUCCCAAAUAUUCCUCUGAAGGACUCUUCUCAUCCACAGGCAAUUGGAGCUCUGUAAUGACAGGCAAAUAAGGGUCUUAUAUUCCCAGCUCAGAUGCGUACCUGUGGGUACCUCCCUGAGAAUUUUGACUCAAGUUGGAUUCCUUCCUUGGAGAAAAUUAAUUCAGAGGUAGAAAUGGAAGCAUGAUUUUCCUGAGCUGCCAGCACACCCAGAGCCAAUCCUAUCCCUGAAACAGAUAUGACUAAUAUAACAAAUAAUAAACAGAACUUCUCCCAUCUGUCUGCUGACCACCUUCGGCAUUACUGGAAAAUGUGCUGCCCAUUUAAUUGCAAAACAAAACUUUAUUUCUCUAUUGUAAUCACCACUCUUUGGGUAUAGAUUAUUUGGAAAAUAUAGAAAAAUAGAAAGAAGUGGGGGAAAUUUUUACCUAGACAAAUUUGACACCUAGAGAGAAAUACUGUUAACAUUUUGGUACAUUGAUUUCAGUGUUUUUCCUCUAAUAAAGUAGACAUUGCAUAUCU
Bos taurus (domestic cattle) is the source of this 1160-nucleotide long non-coding RNA. The record is from Ensembl. NCBI's taxonomy places the organism in Eukaryota, Metazoa, Chordata, Mammalia, Artiodactyla, Bovidae.